Molecule: ribosomal RNA, 294 nt
Filed under: uncultured bacterium
Lineage: Bacteria
Description: partial 16S ribosomal RNA
Rfam family: Bacterial small subunit ribosomal RNA
Source: RNAcentral
GUGGAUUAGAUACCCUGGUAGUCUUAGCUGUAAACGAUGAGCACUUGAUUGAAGGGUCCUCCAUAGCCUUUCAGUCGUAGCGAAAGUGUUAAGUGCUCCGCCUGGGGAGUAUGGUCGCAAGGCUGAAACUCAAAGAAAUUGACGGGGGCUCACACAAGCGGUGGAGGAUGUGGCUUAAUUCGAGGCUACGCGAAGAACCUUAUCCUAGUCUUGACAUGCUUGGAUUAACCCUGUGAAAGCAGGGCCACACCUUCGGGUGGAACAAGCACAGGUGCUGCACGGUCGUCGUCAACU